Molecule: ribosomal RNA, 274 nt
Filed under: uncultured bacterium
Lineage: Bacteria
Description: partial 16S ribosomal RNA
Rfam family: Bacterial small subunit ribosomal RNA
Source: RNAcentral
CUACGGAGGGUGCAAGCGUUAUCCGGAAUCAUUGGGUUUAAAGGGUCCGUAGGCGGACUAUUAAGUCAGAGGUGAAAUCCCACAGCUCAACUGUGGAACUGCCUUUGAUACUGGUAGUCUUGAGUUAUAUGGGAGUAGAUAGAAUGUGUAGUGUAGCGGUGAAAUGCAUAGAUAUUACACAGAAUACCGAUUGCGAAGGCAGUCUACUACGUAUAUACUGACGCUAAGGGACGAAAGCGUGGGGAGCGAACAGGAUUAGAUACCCUAGUAGUCC